RNAcentral lists this ribosomal RNA (1551 nucleotides) under Salmonella enterica. RNAcentral describes it as "bacterial LSU rRNA". It matches the Rfam family "Bacterial large subunit ribosomal RNA", at positions 1278 to 2812 of the family's 2925-position model. The record is from RNAcentral. Lineage: Bacteria; Pseudomonadati; Pseudomonadota; Gammaproteobacteria; Enterobacterales; Enterobacteriaceae.
GGUAUCAGAAGUGCGAAUGCUGACAUAAGUAACGAUAAAGCGGGUGAAAAGCCCGCUCGCCGGAAGACCAAGGGUUCCUGUCCAACGUUAAUCGGGGCAGGGUGAGUCGACCCCUAAGGCGAGGCCGAAAGGCGUAGUCGAUGGGAAACGGGUUAAUAUUCCCGUACUUGGUGUUACUGCGAAGGGGGGACGGAGAAGGCUAUGUUGGCCGGGCGACGGUUGUCCCGGUUUAAGCGUGUAGGUGUGUGUUCCAGGUAAAUCCGGUUCACUUUAACACUGAGGCGUGACGACGAGGCACUACGGUGCUGAAGCAACAAAUGCCCUGCUUCCAGGAAAAGCCUCUAAGCAUCAGGUAACAUCAAAUCGUACCCCAAACCGACACAGGUGGUCAGGUAGAGAAUACCAAGGCGCUUGAGAGAACUCGGGUGAAGGAACUAGGCAAAAUGGUGCCGUAACUUCGGGAGAAGGCACGCUGACACGUAGGUGAAGUGAUUUACUCAUGGAGCUGAAGUCAGUCGAAGAUACCAGCUGGCUGCAACUGUUUAUUAAAAACACAGCACUGUGCAAACACGAAAGUGGACGUAUACGGUGUGACGCCUGCCCGGUGCCGGAAGGUUAAUUGAUGGGGUCAGCGCAAGCGAAGCUCCUGAUCGAAGCCCCGGUAAACGGCGGCCGUAACUAUAACGGUCCUAAGGUAGCGAAAUUCCUUGUCGGGUAAGUUCCGACCUGCACGAAUGGCGUAAUGAUGGCCAGGCUGUCUCCACCCGAGACUCAGUGAAAUUGAACUCGCUGUGAAGAUGCAGUGUACCCGCGGCAAGACGGAAAGACCCCGUGAACCUUUACUAUAGCUUGACACUGAACAUUGAGCCUUGAUGUGUAGGAUAGGUGGGAGGCUUUGAAGUGUGGACGCCAGUCUGCAUGGAGCCAACCUUGAAAUACCACCCUUUAAUGUUUGAUGUUCUAACGUGGACCCGUGAUCCGGGUUGCGGACAGUGUCUGGUGGGUAGUUUGACUGGGGCGGUCUCCUCCUAAAGAGUAACGGAGGAGCACGAAGGUUGGCUAAUCCUGGUCGGACAUCAGGAGGUUAGUGCAAUGGCAUAAGCCAGCUUGACUGCGAGCGUGACGGCGCGAGCAGGUGCGAAAGCAGGUCAUAGUGAUCCGGUGGUUCUGAAUGGAAGGGCCAUCGCUCAACGGAUAAAAGGUACUCCGGGGAUAACAGGCUGAUACCGCCCAAGAGUUCAUAUCGACGGCGGUGUUUGGCACCUCGAUGUCGGCUCAUCACAUCCUGGGGCUGAAGUAGGUCCCAAGGGUAUGGCUGUUCGCCAUUUAAAGUGGUACGCGAGCUGGGUUUAGAACGUCGUGAGACAGUUCGGUCCCUAUCUGCCGUGGGCGCUGGAGAACUGAGGGGGGCUGCUCCUAGUACGAGAGGACCGGAGUGGACGCAUCACUGGUGUUCGGGUUGUCAUGCCAAUGGCACUGCCCGGUAGCUAAAUGCGGAAGAGAUAAGUGCUGAAAGCAUCUAAGCACGAAACUUGCCCCGAGAUGAGUUCU